UGGAUUAGGCAUGCAAGUCGAACGAGGAAGUGCCCCGUAAGGGGCGCAAGCCUAGUGGCGAAAGGGUGAGUAAUGCAUUGAUAACNUGCNUUUGAGAUGGGAAUAACUGCGUUUCGAGCAAUCGGAACUACCGAAAGGGCUGCUAAUACCCAAUAAUACUAUAGGUGCAAAAGCACUUGUGGUCAAAUGCUAGGAAUUCUGUUCCUUGUGCUUAAAGAGGGGUUAAUGUCCUAUCAGCUAGUUGGUGGGGUAAUGGCCUACCAAGGCAAAGACGGGUAGCCGGCUUGAGAGGGUGGUCGGCCACACUGGGACUGAGACACUGCCCAGACUCCUACGGGAGGCUGCAGUCGAGAAUCUUUCGCAAUGCCCGAAAGGGUGACGAAGCGACGCCGCGUGUGGGAAGAAGGCCUUCGGGUUGUAAACCACUGUCGGGAGUUAGGAAAUGCAGGUGCGUUAAUAGCGCACUUGCUUGACUAAGGCUCCAGAGGAAGCCACGGCUAACUCUGUGCCAGCAGCCGCGGUAAUACAGAGGCGGCAAGCGUUGUUCGGAAUUAUUGGGCGUAAAGAGCACGUAGGCGGCCUUGCAAGUCAGUUGUGAAAGCCUUCCGCUUAACGGAAGAACGGCAUCUGAUACUACAGGGCUUGAGUACGGGAGGGGAGAGUGGAACUUCUGGU
This 675-nucleotide ribosomal RNA is filed under the name uncultured Planctomycetales bacterium. RNAcentral describes it as "bacterial SSU rRNA". It matches the Rfam family "Bacterial small subunit ribosomal RNA", at positions 45 to 674 of the family's 1533-position model. Lineage: Bacteria; Pseudomonadati; Planctomycetota; Planctomycetia; Planctomycetales. The record is from RNAcentral.